UUGACCUCAAAUCAGGUAGGACUACCCGCUGAACUUAAGCAUAUCAAUAAGCGGAGGAAAAGAAACUAACAAGGAUUCCCCUAGUAACUGCGAGUGAAGCGGGAAGAGCUCAAAUUUGAAAUCUGGCAGCUCUUUGAACUGUCCGAGUUGUAAUCUAGAGAAGUGUUACCUGUGUUGGACCGUGUUCAAGUCUCCUGGGAUGGAGCGUCAUAGAGGGUGAGAAUCCCGUCUUUGACACGGACUACCUGCACGUUAUGGUGCGCUCUCAAAGAGUCGAGUUGUUUGGGAAUGCAGCUCAAAAUGGGUGGUAAAUGCCAUCUAAAGCUAAAUAUUGGCGAGAGACCGAUAGCGAACAAGUACCGUGAGGGAAAGAUGAAAAGAACUUUGGAAAGAGAGUUAAACAGUACGUGAAAUUGCUGAAAGGGAAACGCUUGAAGUCAGUCGCGUCGGCUAGAAAUCAACCUUGCUUUUGCUUGGUGUACUUUCUUGUUGAUGGGUCAGCAUCAAUUUUGACCGUUGGAUAAAGUCUUUGGGAAUGUGGCAUCUUAGGAUGUGUUAUAGCCCAUUGUCGCAUACGGCGGUUGGGAUUGAGGAACUCAGCACGCCCGCAAGGGACGGGUUUCGACCACGUUCGUGCUUAGGAUGCUGGCAUAAUGGCUUUAAUCGACCCGUC
Molecule: ribosomal RNA, 673 nt
Filed under: Inocybe lilacina
Lineage: Eukaryota; Fungi; Basidiomycota; Agaricomycetes; Agaricales; Inocybaceae
Description: eukaryotic LSU rRNA
Rfam family: Eukaryotic large subunit ribosomal RNA
Source: RNAcentral